RNAcentral lists this ribosomal RNA (460 nucleotides) under uncultured bacterium. RNAcentral's name for it is "partial 16S ribosomal RNA". It matches the Rfam family "Bacterial small subunit ribosomal RNA", at positions 338 to 795 of the family's 1533-position model. The record is from RNAcentral.
CCUACGGGAGGCAGCAGUGAGGAAUAUUGGUCAAUGGACGAGAGUCUGAACCAGCCAAGUAGCGUGAAGGAUGACUGCCCUAUGGGUUGUAAACUUCUUUUAUAUGGGAAUAAAAUGUUCCACGUGUGGGAUUUUGUAUGUACCAUAUGAAUAAGGAUCGGCUAACUCCGUACCAGCAGCCGCGGUAAUACGGAGGAUCCGAGCGUUAUCCGGAUUUAUUGGGUUUAAAGGGAGCGUAGGUGGAUUGUUAAGUCAGUUGUGAAAGUUUGCGGCUCAACCGUAAAAUUGCAGUUGAAACUGGCAGUCUUGAGUACAGUAGAGGUGGGCGGAAUGCGUGGUGUAGCGGUGAAAUGCUUAGAUAUCACGAAGAACUCCGAUUGCGAAGGCAGUUCACUGGACUGCAACUGACACUGAGGCUCGAAAGUGUGGGUAUCAAACAGGAUUAGAUACCCGGGUAGUC